This 495-nucleotide ribosomal RNA is filed under the name uncultured bacterium. RNAcentral describes it as "partial 16S ribosomal RNA". It matches the Rfam family "Bacterial small subunit ribosomal RNA", at positions 28 to 507 of the family's 1533-position model. The record is from RNAcentral.
GAUGAACGCUGGCGGCGUGCCUAAUACAUGCAAGUAGAGCGCUGAAGGAGGAGCUUGCCCUUCUGGAUGAGUUGCGAACGGGUGUGUAGCGCGUAGGUAACCUGCCUGGUAGCGGGGGAUAACUAUUGGAAACGAUAGAUAAUACCGCAGGACAGCAGUUAUUGCAUGAUAACUGUUGAAAAGGGGCAAAUGAGCUACUACCAGAUGGACCUUCGUUGUAUUAGCUAGUUGGUGAGGUAACGGCGCACCAAGGCGACGGUACAUAGCCGACCUGGGAGGGGGGUCGGCCACCCCGGGACUGAGACACGGCCCAAGCCCCUACGGGAGGCAGCAGUAGGGAAUCUUUGGCAAUGGACGGAAGUCUGACCGCGCCACGCCGCGUGAGUGAAGAAGGUUUUCGGAUCGUAAAGCUCUGUUGUAAGGGAAGAACGAGUGUGAGAGUGGAAAGUUCACACUGUGACGGUACCUUACCAGAAAGCGCCGGCUAACUACGUG